Molecule: long non-coding RNA, 1216 nt
Organism: Diachasmimorpha longicaudata
Lineage: Eukaryota; Metazoa; Arthropoda; Insecta; Hymenoptera; Braconidae
Exons: 3
Source: RefSeq, a predicted model, not a curated record
UGUGUUGCCUGAUGAGAAAUUCAACUCAGGCUCAGAUCAAAGUCGCACCAAACUAGAGCUGAUGAUGGAUCAAAAAGUGAUCAAAUAGUUAGAUCAGGUUCUGAUCAUUUGUGUAAUGGAGUGCUUCGGAAAAUUUGAUCAGAUUGAAUUGAUCCGAAUUUGAGGGAAUCAUUUGAUCUAGUAAGGAUGAUGCUUGGUAGGGCUGAAUUUAUUCGGAAUUGAAGUGAGGAUGAUCAGAUUCAGAUCCUACUACUUUGAAAAUACCUGACUGCCGAAUGAGGACAAGGUAGCUCACGCCACCGUAAUGCCACAGCACUAUAUGGGGAGUCGGCCAGAACUGACUCAGUGCUGACAGUCUUGGCCCAACAUUCGGCCAUCCAUGAGCCAACACUACCCCGUUCUUCAUGUCCGGGCAAUUCUAGUCUCCACACCACACCGAAGUGCUCGCUCGACCAUUACCAUAAUGAUAACGACGCAGAAUUCGUACUCUCUCGAGUGCUUCCACAGAACUUCUAUAGGCCACGACUAUACGAGAUGACGUAAAUCAUCUCAAGUAUCAGAAGAAUAGAAGAUCGUCCAUUUUUUUCGAGUACAAAGUCGAAUUUAUUUUUGAGUUGGUAAUUUUUGGGAAACUUUUUACAUUUUUUGGCAAUCGAAUGCAGAUAAAUUUGUCUGCAGGGGAUUUUUUGGAAGGUUUUAAAGGAAUGGUCCAAACACAAUUGGCAGCUUCUUCUGGACAAUUAUUUUAACAGUGUUGUUGAAUUUUUGGGGAUUUCCCCAAAUACAAAAUUCACUCUUUCUCCUCUGAAAAAUAUGGUCCAGAAAUUUAUGGUGGUAGGGCCUCGAAUGUAUGAAAAAAGGGGAAAAGUUUUUAUUACCCGCCUUGCUUAGCAACAUUUGGCGACCAGAAGUGGCAGUGGGGCUAUAACAUAAAAACCUAUUCGGAGGUGGAAAUGUUCUGAUCCAUGAGGCCCAAAAUCCUAUCUUUAAGUUUAGUCUAUCGUUAGAAUCUCUAGAGGAACAUACCUCCUGAUAUCAGUAGAAUCAAAAAUAUAUCGAUUAAAUAUAAAGUGUUCAAAAGAAACAACAGUGUUUCUUAUUUCAAUCCCAUAUUCCAAUAAGUGUUUUAAGGAAAAGUCGACAUGUUCGUUGUAGUCAAAGAUUAAAAUCUGAUUUUUUGAUCAUUAAACGUGAAUAAAUCAUCGUAUUUCUUGGC